This 870-nucleotide ribosomal RNA is filed under the name uncultured archaeon. RNAcentral's name for it is "bacterial SSU rRNA". It matches the Rfam family "Archaeal small subunit ribosomal RNA", at positions 1 to 878 of the family's 1478-position model. The record is from RNAcentral.
CUCCGGUGAUCCCUGCCGGACCUGACUGCUAUCGGAUUGGUACUAAGCCAUGCGAGUCGUUGUAGCAAUACAAGGCGGACGGCUCAGUAACACGUAGUCAACCUAACCUAUGGACGUGGAUAACCUCGGGAAACUGAGAAUAAACCGCGAUAGAUCAUUAUGCCUGGAAUGGCUUAUGGUUCAAACAAUUUAUUGCCGUAGGAUGGGACUGCGGCCUAUCAGCUUGUUGGUGAGGUAAUGGCCCACCAAGGCUAUAACAGGUACGGGCUCUGAGAGGAGAAGCCCGGAGAUGGGUACUGAGACACGGACCCAGGCCCUAUGGGGCGCAGCAGGCGAGAAACCUUAGCAAUGUGCGAAAGCACGACUAGGUUAAUCCGAGUGAUUUCUGUUGAAGAAAUCUUUUGUCAGUCGUAAAACCACAGACGAAUAAGGGGUGGGCAAGUCUGGUGUCAGCCGCCGCGGUAAUACCAGCACCUCGAGUGGUCAGGAGGUUUAUUGGGCCUAAAGCAUCCGUAGCCGGCUACGCAAGUCUCCGGUUAAAUCCAGCUGCUCAACAGAUGGGCUGCCGGAGAUACUACAUAGCUAGGGAGCGGGAGAGGUAGACGGUAUUCUGUGGGUAGGGGUAAAAUCCACUGAUCCAUAGAGGACCACCAGUGGCGAAGGCGGUCUACCAGAACGCGUUCGACGGUGAGGGAUGAAAGCUGGGGGAGCAAACCGGAUUAGAUACCCGGGUAGUCCCAGCUGUAAACGAUGCAAACUCGGUGAUGCAUUGGCUUAUGGCCAAUGCAGUGCCGCAGGGAAGCCGUUAAGUUUGCCGCCUGGGAAGUACGGACGCAAGUCUGAAACUUAAAGGAAUUGGCGGGGGGAGCA